This is a long non-coding RNA of Oreochromis niloticus (Nile tilapia), 1988 nucleotides long. RefSeq lists it as uncharacterized. The record is from RefSeq and is a predicted model, not a curated record. Lineage: Eukaryota; Metazoa; Chordata; Actinopteri; Cichliformes; Cichlidae. The transcript has 9 exons.
UGGGUUUGGCUGUCGGGGGGGGGUUGCUUUACGGACCUUCAGGUCCUGGAAGGGUAACACAGUUUGAAGAUGGAGAACGGCGGUGGCGCUUCUGCGGUGCAGGUGGCUUUAGGAAGACAUGUUUUCCAAAACCUUCAAAAUAGGCUGGUGCAGUCCUACCAACAGCAGCCCUUGGACCUUGAUCAUAUUGAGUUCCUCUGCGUGAACGCAUCAACUCUAGUCUGUUCUCUUUCUGCUCAUAUUAAUGUUCCAUCACUGGUAGUUGAAGCUCUUCACCACCUCAUCUGCCUCAUCCAUUCCAAUAUGGAUACAAGAAGCUUUUGGGCAUAUCGCAGAAAACAGUCCGACGAAGAAUGGAAGAGUGGGGCCUCUCAAUAACGGCAACCUACAGCUCACUAUCAGAUGAUGAACUUGACAACUUAAUUGCAGCCAUAAAACAGGAAUCGAAAGAUCUGGGCUACAGAAUGGUUAAAGGCCGCCUCAGGGCACUGGGCCACAGGGUGCAGUGGAACAGAGUAUGGGAUUCCAUGCGUCGUGUUGACAGUGCUGGAAUCCUUGAAAGGAUGGCAAAUCUUGGAUGUGUUAUUAGAAGGACAUACAGUGUUCCUGGUCCUCUGUCACUGCUCCACAUUGACACCAACUAUAAGUUAAUUAGAUAUGGACUUGUGAUGUUUGGUGUUGUUGAUGGCUUCUCAAGGAAGAUCUUGUACUUGAAAGCAGCUAACAACAACAAGGCUUCUACAGCACUGACGUUCUUGCUUGAGGCUGUACAGAAGCAUGGAUUUCCAUCGAGGCCAGGCUCACGCAACACUAAACCCGACGCCCUCUCACGUCAAUUCUCACCGGUGGGGGAUGCAGAGGACAGAGACAAACCCAUCCUGCCUGCUUCCUGUAUCGUCGGGGCGGUCACCUGGGAAAUCGAGGGGCUGAUCAGAAACGCCCUGCAGCAGGACCCUGACCCUGGGUCUGGCCCGGUGGGCCGGCAGUAUGUCCCUGUGGCCGUUCGGGGCAAGGUGAUCCAUUGGGUACAUACGGCAAAAUUCUCCUGCCAUCCGGGUCGACAUCGCACCCUUAGCUUCCUCCAGCGUCUGUUUUGGUGGCCCUCCCUCGCCAAGGACUUCCGGGAAUAUGUGGCUGCCUGCCCUAUUUUUGCUCAAAACAAGGUGCCAAGCUCCCCACCGUCGGGCCACCUGCGACCGCUCCCCGUCCCUAAACGCCCAUGGUCGCACAUUGCCGUGGAUUUCGUCACAGGACUGCCGCCCGCAGCAGGUAAUACCACCAUACUCACAAUCAUUGACCGCUUCUCCAAGGCGGCGCAUUUUGUGGCCUUGCCCAAACUUCCCUCUGCCUUGGAGACGGCUCAGCUGCUCACACAACAUGUGUUCCGGCUACAUGGCGUUCUUCAAGAUGUUGUCUCUGAUCGGGGUCCCCAGUUCACCUCCCAGGUGUGGAGGGAAUUUUGUUCUGAGCUGGGGGCCCGCGUCAGUUUGUCGUCUGGUUUUCACCCUCAGACUAAUGGCAGGCUGAAAAGGCUAACCAGGAGCUGGAAGCGAUGUUGUGGUGCGUUGCCUCCUCCAACCAGUCCUCCUGGAGCGAGCAUUUGGCCUGGGUGGAGUAUGCCCACAACGCUAGCACCUCGACAGCCACAGGGGUGUCUCCCUUCGAGGCGUCCUUGGGAUACCAACCUUGGGAUCCUUUAGUGCAACAUCACAUGCGGCGUUGCCGACGGGCAUGGCGGACUACCAGGGCGGCAUUACUCAGGACAGCAGAGCAGAAUAAGAAGCUGGCGGACCGCCAUCGCGUUCCGGCUCCUGUUUACCGUGUCGGGCAGCAGGAGGUGGAGAGGAGAACACGGGAGCUGGGUGAAUGGACCACGGGGAGCCACGGCCGAGGGAUUUCACUGGACUGUUAUUGUUUCACUCUGUAAAUAAAUUCACUGUCUCAUUGCAAGGAGAUCUGCGCUCGAGUCCGCUUUUUCCACACACCAC